Molecule: transfer RNA, 84 nt
Filed under: Candidatus Auribacterota bacterium
Lineage: Bacteria; Pseudomonadati; Candidatus Auribacterota
Description: tRNA-Tyr
Rfam family: tRNA
About the family: Transfer RNA (tRNA) molecules are approximately 80 nucleotides in length. Their secondary structure includes four short double-helical elements and three loops (D, anti-codon, and T loops). Further hydrogen bonds mediate the characteristic L-shaped molecular structure. tRNAs have two regions of fundamental functional importance: the anti-codon, which is responsible for specific mRNA codon recognition, and the 3' end, to which the tRNAs corresponding amino acid is attached (by aminoacyl-tRNA synthetases). tRNAs cope with the degeneracy of the genetic code in two manners: having more than one tRNA (with a specific anti-codon) for a particular amino acid; and 'wobble' base-pairing, i.e. permitting non-standard base-pairing at the 3rd anti-codon position.
Source: RNAcentral
GGGAAGAUACCAAAGCGGCUAACUGGGACAGACUGUAAAUCUGUUGCGCAUCGCGCUUCGAUGGUUCGAAUCCAUCUCUUCCCA